AUGCAUAUAUGCAGAGCCUGUGGGGUCCUAGGCAGGAAUUUACUAAAGCUGUGGCAUUUUGUGAGUAUAAAAUCCUUUGCCAGUAGUUGCCUUUUCUUUUCCUGUGAAAGAAAAUGUCUUCCCACAAAGACUCCUGACAGCCACAGUGGACAACCAGGCCCUCUUGACUCUUAUGCCUCUGAGAGCAUGUAUUUGCUUCAGAGUCUACGACCCUGGGUUCAUCCAUUCACUCAAUAUUCAUUCAUUCAACAACAGCAGGUUCCUGAAAGAUCCGAGGUACCCUGCCAAGUUAGAGGUGUGGAGCGACGAAGAAGACAGCAAACUACUGAGCUCCAUCACUUCCCUCCUUUUGUUCAGGCAUCGAUGGAGAAGUGUGGCUGUGCUCUAUCAGGAUUGGCAGUGCACAAUACCAAAUGGUUUGUCCACUAUUGACCCCAGUAGUGGAAGGGAGCAUAGCCUUUCUGUGUUAACUGAGAUAGGACAAUAUGGAGAUCACCAGAGGUGUUCACAGAGGUGAACUGUGUGUACAUACCCUCUAAAAAUGACCCUUGACUUGUUCCAGAUCUACAGGUCAUCACGUCUGCUGUAUAAUUUAUGGACAAUAAAGUCAACUUUCUCCUCUUUCUGCAACACCCCAAAACCUGGUAACACCUUGGGAAGACUCUCUUGGCUUCCAACCAGUUGUAAAUAAAGGAUUGCAAAUAGCAUUUUUUUGACAGUUCUGCAAACAGCAUCAGGGUCAAAUGAGGGACUGAAAAUCCUGCUUUCUGAUUCGUAGAACAGUGCAAAGGUGCUGCAAAAUCAUUUUGGGUCCUGUGUUCUCGCGUGUGUCCUCUGGGAUUUGGUGACCUUUGACAUCCUGCCCAAUUAGUUGGCCAGCUUGCUGGAAUCCUAAUCUUCCCCCUCAGCAGUGCUGUGGCAACCUGGACUUAGAUUAGUAGACAAAUGAGAUAUCCCAAAUCUUUCUUCUGCCCACAUACCUGCUGGAGACACCCCUCGAACUCAUAGGAAAAGUGUGGGGGUGUGACUAAACUUCUGCACACUCCACAUGAGCUUCCUGUGAUCUUCAAGAACCCCACUCACUCCACUCGCGAUCUAUUUUAACAUUCACCCACACCAAGCUCCCCUCUCAGACAACAGGAACAGAUUUGACCUUUUCACGAUACUUUUCCAAUUGUACCACACCCUCUUGUUAAGUUCUCCCGUGGGGGGGGGGCAGCUUUACCAGAAAAAGUCUUUGUGUGCUGAACAGUCAAUACCCAAUGAAAUGACAGUUCUGUCUGCGCUACAAACUGUGAGAAAUGUCAUAGGGAGGGGGAAUCCAAGCUGUGACUUGCUGUUCAAUUCCCCUUAGUAGAGGCAAAGUGCAGAUUCUUGAACGCUGAACUAGGGGAAACGCCACAGGCCCCAGUGGCAGGCUCAAAGAAGCUGAGAUUCUAUCUUGGGUUGCUGGAGGAAGAACCUUCCUCUGGAUUUUCAGGUCUGCCCUUCCCCCACUGUCUUGCCCAUCCUGCUACACCCAGACCACAGAGGGCUCACAAAGGGGCAGUGUGUGAUGUGCACAGUGGCUCUGGGCCUGGGUGAGGAGCUUCCGGUAAAGGUCAAAGAGGUCUGCUCUUUGUGGGCCAUUUCUGACAGGGAGCAGUGCGUGGCCAGGGCUAUGCGAGGCAUAACAAACUUUGUGAACAACUAGAGGAAAUGAGAAAAGUAAAUGUGAAAGGCAGCAACGUAUUGCUCAUGCCUUUAUUCUUAAUCCUUUCCUAGAGAUUUCUGGACAACAGGAGGAACUUCCAUUUUAGUUGGUUUAAACAGAAGUAGAAUUUUGCAACAUAAAACGAGCCCAUUUUUUGAGGUGCUAUGCGUGGAACCCAAUCCUUAGCCACCCUAGGCAAUCCCUCUACUCCAGAUCUACAUCCCCAGACCAAUUGUAACCAUUUUAAAGUGAACAGUUCACAGUAUUAUGCAGCGGCCAUCAUCUCUAGUUCCAAAAUACUUGCCCCAUUCCAAGGAAAACCCUAUAUAUGCCCCAGUAACUCCAAACCUUAUUCUCAACCCCACCCUUCUCUCUCCCUCUCCAAAUGUGCUAUCCGUCUCUAUGGAUUUGCCUAUUCAGGAUAUGUCUCGGAAUGGAAGUGUAAAACACGUGACCCAUGUCUGGUUCCAAUUCUCACUUUAGACCUCUGGGCUUUCACCCACCUUGUAGAACAAGGCAGUACUUCACUCCUUUCUAGUGCUGGUUAAUACCCAUCAUGUACAGGUGACUUAUCAAUUAUUCUAUUCAUUUUGCUUUUACUAACGGAUUUUCAUUAGUACAUGUUUGCAGUACACAAUGAUUCCAUUUAUCACGGUGAAUGUGUACACGUACGUAACACAUCUUAAUUCCUUUUUCCUCUUUCCCUUCCCAUCCCUCCAUGCUCCUUCCAACUCUUAAUCCCUUUCCCAUCUGAAAAAGUUCUAUUUCCAUUUUCUUCUCUCUUUUCUAAAAAUCAUUCCCCGCUUCCUUCCCCUUCCCUCUCACUCUUCCCAUUAAAAAAAGAUCUCCCUACUUCCUAUUACCUAUCCUUCAUUUUGCUUAUUUAAAUUUUCAAUGUCUCAUCUAAGAGAAACUAUGAGAUGGGGUUGAAUUCUUUUAACGUCAUGAUCUCAAGGUACAGCCAUUUACCUACAAAAGCCUCGCUUAUCCUUUAGGGCAACACAGUACUCGUCAAUACAUCUAUUAAUGAACAUCUGCUUCCAGUUUUCAAUGAAUGUGAAAACCCCUAUUAUGAAUAUUUGUAUGCAAAGAUCUGAGCAUCUGCUUUCAAUUCGCUUGGGUACAUAUCUAGCAAUGGAGCAUGACUCAUGAUAAUUCUAUCUUUAACGUUUUUAUGGGGGGGCACAGUUUUCAGCAAUAGUUGCAUACCAUUUUACAUUCCCACCAGCAAUGUAUGAAAGUCAUCUGUUCCUCUUCUUUUUCCUUCUUCUUUCUUCUUCUUCUAUGUAUUUUAGAAAUCAGGGAUCGAACUCAGGACCUUGCGUUGGCAAGGCAGGCAGAGCACCACUGAACGAAAUCCUCCGGCCUCCUGUAGUGUUUAUCUGUCCCUUCUUUCCAGAAAGCCCAUUAAACCACCCAUCCCCAGAGGCCCCAUUCCCUGAAGUAAAGGGUGAGACAGCAGCACCUCUAGUAUGGUAGCAAGACGUCUGCGGGCAAAAUCUGCAGUCUGGCCUCGCCCAUGAAGAGGACAGUGUGAGCAGGGGCAGGGCGCACAGGCUGCCACCUUCGCUGCAUCACGAAGGCACGGGCACCACUGCCAUUCAGGUGCCGUCUUCAACUACCGUCCUAGAGACCUUCAGCACUUCCGUCCUCUCCCGAGCCCCCCUUAAACUCCUAAAGAGCAGAGCUGGAGGCAGCAAGAAGCCGCUGCGGGAGGCGCCGGCGGCUCCGCUCGCUCCGCAGUGGGCAGGACCCGGCGCGCA
Molecule: long non-coding RNA, 3456 nt
Organism: Fukomys damarensis (Damara mole-rat)
Lineage: Eukaryota; Metazoa; Chordata; Mammalia; Rodentia; Bathyergidae
Source: Ensembl